This is an RNA transcript of Chiloscyllium plagiosum (whitespotted bambooshark), 2413 nucleotides long. It is a transcript of the gene named solute carrier family 35 member D1a, with no coding region annotated. The record is from RefSeq and is a predicted model, not a curated record. Lineage: Eukaryota; Metazoa; Chordata; Chondrichthyes; Orectolobiformes; Hemiscylliidae.
GACGACGUCGGGGAAGAGGGGUGGUGCUGCGUUGGAGGCGACGGUGAAGACAUGUUGGAGGUCCGUCAACGUCAUGAUGUUGUGGUUAAGCAGAGCCAGGAAAAGAGCGAAGCAGCUGGAGAUGCUGCUGUCCGAGUCGACGCUCGAACUGGGGACGGGGAGAUGUCGGCUGAGACGUUGACUGUUUUCCUGAAGUUGUGCGCGGCGGUUUUUUACGGAGUUAGCUCUUUUUUGAUCGUGGUGGUGAACAAGAGCGUCCUAACCAGCUACAGAUUUCCGUCAAUAUUAUUUGUGGGCAUUGGUCAGAUGUUAGCAACGGUAACCCUGCUGUGGGUGGGUAAGGCAUGCAAGGUGGUGAAGUUUCCUGGCCUGGACUACAGUAUGCCUCGGAAGGUGUUUCCACUACCUCUAUUAUACCUGGGGAACCAACUUACAGGAUUGCUCGGCACUAAGAAACUGAAUCUUCCAAUGUUUACAGUUCUAAGGAGGUUUUCCAUUCUGUUUACAAUGAUAGCAGAAAGUUUGUUACUUAAUAAGAACUUCUCUUGGUCUGUACAGGUGACUGUCUUUGCAAUGAUACUUGGUGCAUUUAUUGCUGCCAGUUCUGACAUGGCAUUUGACUCAUUUGGAUAUGGAUAUAUUCUUGCAAAUAAUGUGUUAACAGCUGCUAAUGGAGCUUACGUAAAGCAAAAAUUGGAGUCAAAAGAACUGGGUAAAUAUGGGCUACUUUAUUACAACGCCCUCUUUAUGAUUCUGCCUUCUUUGGUCAUUGCAUACUUCACAGGUGACCUUCAAAAGGCAGUUAAUUUUGAAGGUUGGUCAAAUACCAUAUUUGUGAUGCAGUUCUUGCUGUCCUGUAUAAUGGGGUUUAUUCUCAUGUUUUCUACAGUUCUGUGCACUCAGUAUAAUUCUGCUCUUACUACCACAAUUGUUGGCUGUGUUAAGAAUAUUUUGGUGACUUAUAUUGGAAUGUUUCUCGGUGGAGAUUAUAUAUUCACGUGGACCAAUUUCAUCGGGUUAAAUAUUAGGCCUCCAAAUUCAAACAAAGACAAGUAAAUAGUGCUGGAUACCCUGACCCCGAGGGAGAACAAAGCAGCAACAGACUAAAACUAGACAAUGUGGAGUCCACCAUAUGAUCAGGGAAUAACAGAUUCGAGUAGAGAUAAAUCACAUUAUUAUGCAACUUGCCCCUGCGAAACAGUCUUAAUAAUUCAGCUCAACAGGAUCCCAAGACUUCCAUUUGGAAAUCACAAAAAUCUUACGAAUGUGACAAGACAGUUUAUGCACGACGUUUAUUUAAUAAGCAUCUCCUCUUACAUGUUGCAUUAUAUGAACUGGAGGAUAAUUCAAAUUUUAUCAAUGUAAUGUGACUGAAAAUUAGAAAAAUCUCAUGAAAUGGAAGCAAGCUUUGUGAAAGCACUACAUUUCUCUGGUGCAGGUCCACUACAGUGCUAUUAGAAAGGAGGUUUCAGGAUUUUGAAACAGUUACAAGUCAGGAUAGUGUGUUGGAUGUAGAGGAACUAGCAGGAUGAUAGCAUUACCAUGAAUCUGUUGCUGUCUUCCUGGUACGUGGUAUGCUUGGAAGGUGCUUUCAGAAAUGAGGUGUUUUGUAGAUAUGGCUGUCAGUGCAAGUUAGCAGAGGAGGCAGCAAAUAUAUAAAAAGGUGGUAGAAGUGUAUAUCGGUGCAGACUGCUUUGUCCUGGACGCUAGUGGUAUUGGAGUUGCGUUCAUCCUGGCAAGUGGCGAGCAGCCCAAUCACACGCAUCACUUGUGCUUUGUAGAUGAUGUAUUUUACAGCAUCUGCAGUUUGUUGUUUUUUGCAGAUGCUGGACAGUACAGUAAUAUGAGUUGAGUUACUUGCCUCAGAAUUCCCAGUCUCUGGCCCAUCUCAACAGUCACACGAUUUAUAUGGUGGGUCCAGUUCAGUUUCAGAUUGGUAAUCCAUAGCAACAGUAAUAUCUUGAAUACCAAACAGAAAUGACUAGAUUCUGACUUAGAGAUAGCACUUCAAUGCUGCAAAAUGUCCCAUUUAUCAGUCUAAUCUUUAAAAGUUGUCCAGGUCUUGAUGCAUAUGGACAUGGAUUUUUCAGAAAGAGGAGUUACAGUACUGAAUAUUGCAUAGAGAAUUUCCCUACUUCGAAUCUUGGGUUAGAGGAUGCCCUCAAAAGUCUCCUCCCUUCAUUUUUAUUCUCGCAUAAGUCUACUCCUAACAUGCCCUUUUCAUUGAAUGCAAGAUUGAUAUUUUGGUUUGAUGGUCAAGGUAGGGACGUAUAAGCUAGGUCUUGGGGUAACAGAUUUUGAUGAAGUACAAAUCUGACACGGAUGGCUCAUAGCACCUAUUGGAGGUCCAUUUCUAAGCUGCUGGAUCUGUUCUGAAACUCAUUUAUCAUGACAAAAAUGUCAUACAAUAUGA